RNAcentral lists this long non-coding RNA (1900 nucleotides) under Solanum tuberosum (potato). Lineage: Eukaryota; Viridiplantae; Streptophyta; Magnoliopsida; Solanales; Solanaceae. The record is from RNAcentral.
UUCGUUCUCAUUCAGUUCAAUCACUCACUCUUCUGUUCUGAUCUAGGGUUUUACAGCUUUCACUUACUCCAUAAGAGUAAGCUCUGCCCCUUCGAGUUUACAGUUUUCAGUUUCUAUUAGAUUUGUUUGUUUUCAUCUAAUUUCCUUUGGCCUAUGAUUAAAAUUCUUAAAUAUAGACAAGCAUAUGUCUGAAUUUUCAUCAUGUUGAAUACCUAAUCUUCUCUAUGAGGCCAAUUACAUCUAUUUUUUUUUUUUAUGUUUUUCUAUCCAGAUUUCUACUUUUUGUGCUCAAUAAUUCAAACAAAAAACUGGGUCAUAUGAUGAUUAGAAGCAUAGUUCAAAUGAAAUCUAUGUGAUUACAAAACUUCUUUUUUAGUCUUUCGCUCCUAUCUGAUGACUCUUUUUAUUACUAUUAAAAAUCUGAUUUUUAAGCAAUUAAUUGUUGUAUUUUUUUUGAAAAAUUGAAAUGGUUAAUGGACAAUGACGAUUUAUCUAUUGGUCUCGUUCGUCGUAAUGGUGUUUAAACCACCUUGCCGACCAUUCUGAUAUAUCACCACCCAUAAACUGAGUCCUAUUACUAUACCUUUUUUUUUGUUUAUUUUUCAAUUUAGUUCUUCGUUUCUGGUGCUGUGAUGAAAAAAAUCUUGUGUCGGAGGCUUUUUGUCGCUGAUGGUUUACACAACCCUCUAAGAAGUUCUGAGCACUUUUUUUGUUUUCAAUUUCAGUAUUUUUUCUGAUUAUUUAGUAGUAGUAAUUGAAUGAUAAGUAAUUUAUUUUGAGGAUGAAUGAAGUGAUGAUAGAAUUCAUAUGUUAAUUCACUGAAUUACAUUUUUAUGAUGUUAAGAGUGAAUCCCGACAGGUUCUGAUCGUUUAUUAGUUAAUUAAUCCUCCAUUAAUUGUGAUUUUGCUUUGUUAAUUUUAUGUCUUGUGGGCAAAUGAUGAAAUUUUUAUAUCGUAAAUGGGUAAUUUGCGUCUGAAUCUUUCUUUGAUGUUAUAACCUUGGAGAACUGAUGCCCUUUAAACUUUUUACUUUGCAUUUUGUUUUCAUAAUGCCAAUUAGCAGAGCAAAGGUGUCUUUCACAAAUGACACACAUUUGCAUUGAAGGUUGGCUAUAUAUAUAUAGCGAUUCUCCGUGCCUUUCAAGCUUUUUUCUCGUAUUGAUUACGGCCUCGAACAAAUUGCUACAUUUUCUCCCUUCACUGUUGUGCUUAUUUGGUACCUUAGUUGCUUUGUUUUUAACGUAGACAAUUUGCAGAGCAAGGGUGUCUUUCAAAAUGACAUACAUUUGCAUUGAAGGUUGGCCAUAUGUAUAGCGAUUCUCCGUGCCUUUCAAGCUUUCUUCUCGUAUUGAUUACGGCCUCGAACAAAUUGCUACAUCCACCAAUUAUUAUGGUACAUUUAUCUAUAAAUUUGGUUAUAUAAAUGACUUGAUCUUGACAAUGAGUUUGUAUUAUCUAAUUUUAGUUUAAGUUUCUUAAUUAUGCAUAAACUAUUAAAUUUGUGAUCUUAGUAGUUACUCUCUGUAGUAAAUUUGUUUAUUAUCAUUGGCCGAUGAUUAAAUUUCUAAUAUAGACAAGCAUAUGACUGAAUUUUCAUUAUGUUGAAUACCUAAUCUUCUCUAUGAGGCCAAUCAUAUUUUUUCCAUAUUGUUAUGCUUCCUGUGUUCAAUAGUUUUAUAAAAAUAGUUUUUUUUUGUGUUGUCAUUGUUUAUAAACGGGUCAUAUGAUGAUUAAAAGCAUAGUUCAAAUGAAUUCUUUGUGAUUAUAAAACAAUCUUUAUAGUCUUUCGCUCCUAUCUGAUGACUCCUUUUUUAUUUGUGUUAAAGGUAUGAUUUGUUUUUGAAAAUUUUGAAAGGGUUAAUGGACUAUGACGACUUAUAUCUAUUGGUCUCGUUCGUCG